CCCUGGCUGUAACCAAUUCAUAAUGCUCCAGACCUAAAACUCGCAUUGUUUCAACUCCAAUUCGCGUCGAGCAAUGCUAAAACCCUUCUAACUCACUUGGAACUUAACUUUAACCCUUCCAACAUUGUUGGAUUAAUGUUAAAUGGAUCUUGUCCAACUAUUUUUUUCGUACACUUUAGUUAAUUUGACUAAAGUUCGAUAUUCUCUACCGAGUUUUAGUAUAUUACAUGACGAAAAGAGAAAAAUUAAAUCACAAGAUAUUAAAUUGAUGCACUUUAAAUCACAGGAUAGUAAAAUCAGAAAGUGCGAAACCACAAGAACGGUAUUUGAAGUUUACCCUAUUUUUU
This 347-nucleotide long non-coding RNA is filed under the name Ananas comosus (pineapple). Its description in RNAcentral is "long non-coding RNA (ACOM_LNC034133)". The record is from RNAcentral. Lineage: Eukaryota; Viridiplantae; Streptophyta; Magnoliopsida; Poales; Bromeliaceae.